RNAcentral lists this unclassified non-coding RNA (577 nucleotides) under Hevea brasiliensis (rubber tree). The record is from RNAcentral. Lineage: Eukaryota; Viridiplantae; Streptophyta; Magnoliopsida; Malpighiales; Euphorbiaceae.
AUUAAUAAUAUCGAAGUUUCAAGCAUUACAAAUUUCUUUCCUCACAACAAAUAAUACAUUGUGAUUCUACAAAUUUCUCUAAAACUUUUUUCCUUUUCUCUGCAGGGUUCGUUCUCGUCUUUGCUGCUUAUUGGUCUUUCCCUGCCCCUCCGAGCAGGGGAGGGUUUCCCUUCCCCCUAACCCGGCCAUGGGUUCCCCCUCUUCCUCCGAUAUUGGGAUGUAUAUAUUGUUAUGGUUCUUUUGAGCAACUAGGUUUUCAUGCAAAGGGAUGAUAUGUGCUACUCGGAGUUGCGUUGCUUUUUCUGUUGUUCUUCCUGCUUAUGCAUUGCAAGUUUUAUGAGAGAGAGGGUAUUGGUGUGAUUUUCUGCUUGCUGAUGGCAUGAGGAUGUGCUCUGUGUAGAGGCUGGUAUCUCAGUAGAUUCUUUAUGAGCCAGUAAAGCGUGAGUGGGUCGCCGAGAACUCUGCCACCUCCUCCUCCACCCCUGAAUUUCUCUGAUUUUUCUCGGCCUGGGAUAAUCUGCUUGGAACAGUGAAGCCUCGGUUUGAGGCUCUCUUUGAUUUUCAGUUUGGAUUUUAA